Molecule: long non-coding RNA, 55 nt
Filed under: Rhipicephalus microplus (southern cattle tick)
Lineage: Eukaryota; Metazoa; Arthropoda; Arachnida; Ixodida; Ixodidae
Description: uncharacterized LOC119173481
Source: RNAcentral
ACUGUUCGCUGAGCGAAACAUCAGUAGACUGGAACCGCCUUCCCGGAUCUGUGAC